UUUCUGGUACCUGUACGACAGAAACCCCUAUAAGGUGAGCCUUACUUUUGUACCUGUUCCAGACCAUAUGAGUAUUUGGACCGUACGUGUACGGUCCAGACUGUAUACGUAUACUCGUACGGUCAGACUGUAUGAGUAUACCCAUAUGGUCCAGUAAGAGCUGACCAUACAUGUUAUUGGAUCAUAUGGGUUAAAUUUAAACAAACAUUUAUCACAAUCUUUAUUUUUAGUUUUAUAAAUUGUUAUCAUUGCAAUUAGAUGGAUGAAAUGAACAAAUGAACAAUUGAAAUUAAAUAUUUGUUUAAUUGUAUAUCUGAAUCCUAUUUUGGUAUUCUUGCCCAAGGUGACACUUGCUACCACAAGUAAUGUAAUAUAUUUUACAUUUACAUGUUUGCAGUUCAUUUAUGUUCCUUUGCAUUUGCAUUUUUAUUCCCCACCUACGAUAGUAGAGGGGCAUUAUGUUUUCUGGUCUUGGCGUCCGUCUGUCCGUCUGUUCGUUCGUCUGUUCGUUCGUCCGUCUGUCCCGCUUCAGAUUAAAGUUUUUGGUCAAGGUAGUUUUUGAUGAAGUCCAAUCGACUUCAAACUUAUUAUACAUGUUCCCUAUGAUAUGAUCUUUUUAAUUUUAAUGCCAAAUUAGUGGUUUUACCCCAAUUUCACGGUCCACUGAACAUAGAAAAAGAUAGUGCGAGUGGGGCAUUCGUGUACUGGGGACACAUUCUUGUUUUGUAAAGUUUCUAAUAUUCUACAACAAUUGUCCUCCCACAUUAUGUUUACUUCCGAUAUCGUCAAUUUAAUGAUUCAAUUAAUGUAUUACUGAUCGAUAUGCUAAAAACAAGAUAGUAACAGAUUUAAUUAGCGUGAAUUUUUUAAAUAGUUAAAAAAUAAGGUUUUUUAUUUCAAUUAGAAAUUUUAAUUCAAAAAGUAUUAAUAACAGGCUAUUAUUUGAACUUGGAAUUAUUUUUAAUUAUGGAAUUUGCAUAAUUUCUUGUGUUUAAAGGGAAACUUCGCAAAAAAAUCAAAAAUUGAUAUUAUGUUCAUUCUGUAUAAAAAUGCUCAAAUUCAUGAAUAUUAAAGUUUUAUUCUGCUUGAUAAGAGAUCACCAUCGAUUUUAAAUUUAGAGUAUCAAUUCUCUCCGGUCGGCCAUUUUGUUACCUUCUCCGAAUUGCUCCCAAGAUAUGUCUAAGGACCAAAACUACAGUAACCCGAUGUAGUCGUAAUUGCGUGUUGAUAUCUUGUCAAUCGUACGGUUGUUUUAUCCGACUAGUUAACUAUAACUAAGUUGAUACAGAAAAUUUUCUUAUCUUUUUUUUUUUUAAUAACCAUGAUCUGUUAUUUUUAACAAUAAUGAUAAUAUUGGAAUUAGUUAAAAAGUAAAAGUUUCAAAUCAUAAAUAAGUGUUCCGUGAAACUUGAAUUGUUUUCGGAAAUCUAAUUAGUUCAUAAUUCUUUUAUGUAAUAAACUUUAUUCAAAUAAAUUAGGAUCUUCGCUCCACUGAUCACCUGCAUGGCUAAAGGUAUUACUCCCAAAGGUAUUGCAGGGGGUGUGACACGUCCAGGUAUUCAAGCGAUUUCCUGUCGAGCUUGCAAAUUCAUGCAUCGUUUCACUUCUUAGGGUAUUGGUCAGUGUACACGGCCGAUAACUUAUAACUUUCCAUUUUGAACUAUUAGGUGUAUAAUAUGCAUCUCUAUCUUGCGUGUCCGAAAGUGAUAUUAUAUACUAGUCAUUACUAAACUCAUACCAAGGAUUUGUAUAGUUAGUCUAACUAUACAAAUCCUUGCUCAUACGCUUGUUUAUGAAUAAAAUUUCUGAUGUAAAGAAAAUUAUUUAUAAAAAUAUAGAUAAUACCUAAAAAUAAACAACAGAUUUGAUGAAAUAAAAAUCUAUAUACAUACAUAAUUUUUUGUCAAUGGUGAAGGACAGAUCGGACCAUACCAGAAAUUUUGAUUUAAAAAAAUGUACGCACUUGUCGACCAUCGUAUAUACGCCAGGAUAAAAAGUUACGGAACUAUAGCGCAAAUUCAAAUAUAUACAUGUAUACAUUGUACAUAAGAAAGAAACAUACAUUUUGUGUAAAUUGUGGUAAAAGUUUUGUUAGUGGACUAGUCCACGUAUGCCAACAGUAUGUAAUCAUCAAAUGUCGAAAGACUAUUGUAUACCAAAAAGAAGAAGAAAGAAGAGAUUUAAAUACAGGUCGAUAUAUAACUUUCUUUGGCUCAUCGAAGUUAUGGACAUUUAUAUAUCAAUUAGAUUGUUCUCGAAUAAAAGAAGAAAUUCGUCAUCAUCACAAUUGUUCCGACAUGCAUGUUAUAUAUGUACGCAACUGGACGUACACUAAUAAUCCCUAAGGGAUGUGAAUAUUUUCCAGGAAAACUAUAGAGUAUCAAAGUUUCAAAUCAAUUUCGGGAUUUAUUUUCUUUCUUGAUAUUCAAUGACAGCAAUUUAAAGAACAAACUGCUUGUCCGCUUUAUAGGUAUUCUUGCCAGUUGAAACAGACUUAUAAUAACAUUAAACAAUAGGGAAAGAUGACAUUAAAUUCGUUCUGUUUUUUUUUUUUUUUUUUAUACAUUGUUGGUCAAAUAGCUAAAGUAUUAUAUAUAAUUGGGCCCGAUAUAGUUACGGUGUGAGACGAAGACUAUUUUGUUAAGGACAUUCCCGAUUAUGUAAAACAAAAUGUUGUUGUUUUUCACACUUGAAAAGCAUAUAUGUUCGUAAAUUUCGAUUCCAUUCCAAAAAGAUUCUUAAAUUUUCUGUCAAUUUUUUUAAAAAAAAUUAUCAAAUAUCUGAAGUAUUCGUGCUUUGUGAGAUUUGAAAAUAUUUUGAUGAAAAACAUUAAUUCCUAAAUAGGUAAUUAAAGAUAACUUUGGAUGGACUAAAUUAUAUAAUUGCAAUUGUUAAUGAUCUGUUUGAAAUAUUUAAGGCUGCCGAUCCUAAUCUAAAAUAGUACAAUUUUUGGUUCAUACACUCGUAAUUAGAAGGCCAUUUUUAUUAUGAAUUUAUACUUCAAUUAAAAUAAUAAAGUAUUUUAUCGUUACUGAAUUAAUCAAAAGUCAUAAUUCAUUUAAAAGUGAUCUUAUCAUGCUUAUGCAAAAUAUAAAAAUAUACAACAGCUAUCCAGUUAUUGUGCGACCUUAUUAUUCCCGUUAAUUAAUUAACUUUUUUUUACAUUUCUGCAGGGACGUCUAUAUAAGUCCUUGAUUUCUGUGUCUAAAACUUUUACUGACUCCCGUUUUCAAUUCAUACGAAAUGUUGUUCACACCUUCAAGCCAGUAAACCGUGACGCCUAGAUUUCACUGAAUGAGGAUCAAAGGAUUAGAAUUACAUAAUGCUAAUCCUUUAAUUACCUUGAGUUAACCGACGCACUCAACAUUCUUUAGGUGUCACAAAACAAUACACAUUUUAUUUCCACCGUACAAGCAAGUGAAAAUGUGAGAAUGAAGCAAAAAGGUCAAAAUACAAACGUGUAUUUUUAUUACACUAUUGAUCAUGUCAAUUUCAUAUGUUUGUUUAAAGUAUUUGUAGAAAAAUCAUAAAAAAUGUUCUCUUUUGUAUGAUUAAAUUAAUUUUAUUAAAAAUUAAUUCGAUUUAAAAUAUCCACACGAUCUAAUUUUAAAAGUUGCAUGGCUAUCACUUAUUUUUCGUUGGUUAAUAGCUACACCAAAAGUCGUCGAUGCGCUUUAAAUGGCGUUAUUAAAUGGUUAACGAACAAGACUUAAAUGAGAUAUUUUCACUCCCGGCAUGCAUCAAAGACUUAAACUACGUCACAUAAGUCAGGAAGUUUCAAGAAAUAAAAUUAAUAAUUCCCAAUUUUCUCCUUUAUUAGAUUUCAUAUCAAAAUAAAACUUGGUGAAUAUGUUUUUUAUGGUAUUAUGAACAAAAUAAGAUGAAAAGUGAAAAUUCGCGAAUUAUCCCUUUAAAAUUUUUGAUAAAUUCCAUUUAAUAUUUGGUAUUAUGAUCUUUUGAGCGGUUAAUAACACUUCCUUACAAUGUAUUUUGGUGAGAUAGUGUUGUGCGCGGCACAGUACAUUCUAUUGAAAAAUACUAUUUUCUUUGUAAUAGAAAGUGUUGUGCGCAGCACAGAACAUUUCAUUACAGAAUAAACGUGGAAUUUAUUGAAAAUUUCAAUAACAAGAAAUCAAGCAAAUUCCAUAAUUAAAAAUAAUUCCAAGUUCAAAUAAUAGCCUGUUUAAUGCUAAUUAGAAAUAAGGUUGGGUUUAAGUACCUAAACUACAGAAACUUUCAUAGUUACAAUUGAACUUUUCCAUAUUAAUUUGAGAGUUAAGUUAUGUUGAUCUGUUACAUGCAUUUGUAACUUAUAAACUUAAGCAACUUCAUAAUCAUAUUAAUCAGACUGUACAUGUACUGUCCGACCGUAGGAGUAUUUUGAAAAAGUACGCAUACAGUCCAGACCGUACGCGUACGGUCCAAACACUCAUACGGUCUGGAAUAUACCCAAUUGUCCUAAAUAUGCAUGAAAUAUUUCCUACUAAAUGUUAGGCUCAAAAAAUCAAUUCUUCUAGGAUGUGUCUGAUUGUUAUAGAGACCUGAAUGGGUAAUCAUUAUGUUGUAUAACACCCAGGUUGGGUUUAAGUACCUAAACUACAGAAACUUUCAUAGUUUCUCAAUACAUUUGUACAUCCAAAUUAUUUGAACUUUGGUGGAUCAUUGGCAAUCAUACCACAUUACCUUAUUUUAAUAUAAGGUAGGAAUUUAAGCUAUACACAAGGUCAGCAUAUAAUAUAUUUCUUUGGAUAACAGUAUCAUACAAACAAGAAAUAAUUGCUGUGAAAAUUGUUAAAAGAUUUGAAUAACAUGGAUACUAUACAUGUACUAUACUUUAAGUAAUGCCAAGGUCUGUUUGAAAUGUAAUUCUGUUCUUUUAUUAUUGUUGUUUGAAGUUCUUCAGUAAUUCAAUGCUCUUUUUUUAUCUGUAAAUUGUUAUGUAGGGAUUUCCAGACACAAAGGUUCUUGGACAGCACAUGCAAAAAAUAGCAGCAUUUAUCCUUUCACCAGAGUUCCCCAGGGGCAGACAACUUGAAGUGUCGACUGAUUAUGUGGAAUAUAUGGCUCAAAUAGAGUAAGAUAAUAACGUAAUUAUCAGUAUUUCGGUUUAUGGAGUUGGUUUAGUUGAACAACCAAGAUUUUUCUCAAAAACAAAAAAAGUCUUAGUAAUAAUGCUACACCAAUUUAAUAACCCUUAGUAUUUUUUAUGCCCCACCUACGAUAGUAGAGGGGCAUUAUGUUUUCUGGUCUGUGCGUCCGUUCGUCCGUUCGUUCGUCCGUUCGUUCGUCCGUUCGUUCGUCCGUCUGUCCCGCUUCAGGUUAAAGUUUUUGGUCGAGGUAGUUUUUGAUGAAGUUGAAGUCCAAUCAACUUGAAACUUAGUAUACAUGUGCCCUAUGAUAUGAUCUUUCUAAUUUAAAUGCCAAAUUAGAGUUUUGACCCCAAUUUUACGGUUCACUGAACAUAGAAAAUGAUAGUGCAAAUUUCAGGUUAAAGUUUUUGGCUUCAGGUUAAAGUUUUUGGUCAAGGUAGUUUUUGAUGAAGUUGAAGUCCAAUCAACUUGAAACUUAGUAUACAUGUGCCCUAUGAUAUGAUCUUUCUAAUUUAAAUGCAAAUUAGAGUUUUGACCCCAAUUUUACGGUUCACUGAACAUAGAAAAUGAUAGUGCAAAUUUCAGGUUAAAGUUUUUGGCUUCAGGUUAAAGUUUUUGGUCAAGGUAGUUUUUGAUGAAGUUUAAGUCCAAUCAACUUGAACUUAGUAUACAUGUGCCCUAUGAUAUGAUCUUUCUAAUUUAAAUGCCAAAUUAGAGUUUUGACCCCAAUUUUACGGUUCACUGAACAUAGAAAAUGAUAGUGCAAAUUUCAGGUUAAAGUUUUUGGUCAAGGUAGUUUUUGAUAAAGUAGAAGUCCAAUCAACUUGAAACUUAGUAUACAUGUUCCCUUUGAUAAGAUCAUUCUAAUUUUAAUGCCAAAUUAGAGAAUUUAUUCCAAUUUCACAGUCCUUUAAACAUAGAAAAUGAUAGUGUGAGUGGGGCAUCCGUGUACUGUGGACACAUUCUUGUUUAUACUUGAUUUAUUGAGCCUGGUUCAUUCUCUGAAAUAAAAUAAAAGAUAUGUGAAAACAAUAUUAAUAAUCACAAGUUUUAAUCCUUAUGUAAACACUUACAGAAAAUGAGAAUUCACAAAAAACUUCAUGAAACAGUAUAAUGUGAUUGUAGAAUGCAGAUUUCCAAGGCUUAUUAUUGCAGGAACAAUUUGACAGAACUAAUAAGCUUCACCAGAUACAUUGCUGAAAUUGUGUUUUUUGCUAAUGAAUGAUUUAUAUCAACACUUUUGUGCUAUUUUUUGGCAGUCAGUUUUAAUAGGUGUAGGAAGUUGGUGUGCAGGGAGAGAACCACAUACCUUUGGAAGGAAAACUAACAAUACUUGUCAAUUAAUAUAAGAUUGGAGUUGAACGCAUCACAUACCAGAUUCGAACUCACUCACUACCACAGUGAAACUGUACCUGAGUGCAGGGGUCAAAAUAAGUGCUGGUCCGGUGGUCAGGGACCAGUAGAAUGUGCGUCAGACCAGUAGAUUUUGUCAGCUGGUAGUCUGGCCAGUAGAAAUUUGUAGAUAAAAAUCACUGAUUGCAUCGCAAUCUCCGUUUGUUUACAAAACAAUUUACCUGUGAAAUCAAUUACACGGUACUGGGGGUAUUACAUUUGAUCAAGUUGAUUAAUAUCUCAGGUGAGCGUCCUUCACAACAAUAUAAAAUGUGGAAAUUUUUGGAAGGAGUUUAACCGCCGAAAACAAAAAAAAAUCAAAAAUGUGAAAAUCAAAAGGAAGAUCGAAAUAAAGUAUAUGAAAUUGACAAAAGGAAAUGCAAAUACCAAAAAUCGCGAAUGGUUGAAUUAUAAAGUAGGACCAGUAGAUUUGGAGCCGGACCAGUAGAGUUUUCAGUCUACUGGUCCGGCUGGACAGUACACAAAAAAGCUUAAAUUCAACCCCUGUCUGAGUGUUUCUUCUAUUGUUUUAUUCAUGUAUUAGUAUAGAUAUGGUUAGUGCAGUGUAACCAUGUCUUCUCUUUCUAUAUUUCUGCUCAUGUAUCUGCAUAAAUAUGAUGAGCAUGGAAAGCAAACCAUCUCUUUAAAAUCUAUCUAUUCCAUGUACAUGUAUCAGUAUGGAUAUUGGGUGCAUGUGAAUGUAGGAAAUAUAUCAUCUCUUUCUUUAAUUCUGCUCAUUUAUGAGCAUCGUACAUGGUGAAUGUGAGUUUGUCUAUAAGGAACUCAGAAAUUAUCAUGAAUUGUAUUUUAUUGUAUAUGUUUCAGAGGGGACAUAUUAAUAGAAGUGUGGCCAGACAUGAUGGCUUUAUUCAAAGCUCUCAGCUUGUGUAAAAAGGCCAAUGAAAUGUCCAAGAUGAUAAGAGGAUUCAGACACCUGUUUGAUAGGUUGGAUGACAAAGCUAUGGGGGUAACUAAUAUUCAUCAUUGCCUUCAUUUUCUAGUUAUAUCUUAAUGCAAAGUAAUUUAUAUAUCUGUGUAUGGAGGACUAAACUUGGGUCAUGUAUUAUUGUUGAAAUAAAUUUUGAUUUGAAUUGAAUUUUCCAAGGAAUAAAAGAUAAAUUUGUAUGAAAAGCUAAUGUUCAUAAAACAUGUUCAUUUAUCAAAAUAAAUCAAAAAAAUGUUCAAGCACAGAAGUAUGUCAGAUGUAACGUAAUUAACUGAACAAGUAGGUCACAUAUAAAUAUUUCUGUUUCUCCUGCUGUAGAUAUUUAGACAUUUAUAUGAAAAGUUAUUAAAAUCAGGUCAUAAUAAAAAAAAAGAAAUCCCUUUAAUAUCUUGCAUAUCCAUUUUUAUGCCCCAUUUAUGUCUGGUCUGUGGGUCCGUUAGUCAGUCUGUCCGUUCAUCUGUCCCGCUUCAGGUUAAAUUUUUUGGUCCAGGUUAAAGUUUUGGGUCGAGGUAGUUUUUGAUGAAGUUAUAGUCCUAUCAAUUUGAAACUUAGUACACAUGUUCCCUAUGAUAUGAUCUUUCUAAUUUUAAUGCCAAAUUAGAGAUUCUAUCCCAUUUUUAUGGUCCACUGACCAUAGAAAAUGAUAGUGCGGAUGGGGCAUUCAUGUACUUGGGACACAUUCUUGUUAUAAUAUAAAAAUGUGACCAUUAACAUUAUUUAUCACAAUUUUUCAUACUUGGCAUAUCAGUAUGGUAGGUUUUGUUGAAAAGAAUAUGGUUGCUUUGAUCAAUGCAUAUGAUGACAUCACACAGUGACACAGGUGCUUAAAUAUUUGUAGCUGUGAGCAUCUUUUGAUUUUAAUUCUACACUUUUAAACAUGCAACCAUAUAGAUACCUAUGCUAGUUACAAUUUUCUUCAAACAUCUCUUUCUGUGGUAAUUCUGACACAAUGUCAUCAAAGUGUAUAUUUGUCUCAUUUUGUACUUUACAUUACAGAAGAAUCCUAAGAUCUUCCAGUCCUGGGCAGAAACUGUAACUGAGGUGGUAGAGAAGAUAGAGAAUUUCCAAUUGCUUGAUGACGUAGUUCCUAGAAUGAUUUCUGAUAUGGAUGAUAAAUAUAAGCCAGCCAAGUAAGAACACUAUUAAUAUUCGUUGGAUACCAAUGUUUGUGUAUUUCGUGGGUACAGGUUAACCACCAAAUUUAAUGUUCAACAAAUAACAAAUUUUCUAUCGGAUUGUAUGCAUACUUCAGCAAAACCAGGAAAUCAAAUAUCCACGAACUUGUAAAUUUUCCUCAAUUCACGAAAAUUGAUAACCAUGAAAAUAAAUUAAUCAACAGUAUUCAUAGCUUCUAAGGUGCCAUAAUUGUUUUUUAUGCAUACCUAACAGGGGAAGUCCCUUUUGAACCGUUGAAGAAGCAGUAGUAACACUAAAAACUGGGUGGAAUCUUCAGUGCUGUGUAAGCGAAAGCAGAUCCUGCUCCACAUGUGGCACCCUUUGUGUUGAUCAUGUUAGUUGUAGCUUCUUAAAAAGCUUUUAUAUAAAAUAAGAAUAUGUGAUAUGAUUGUCAAUGAGACAACUAUCCAUUAGAGAACAAAUGAUUAAGAAUUUAGAAACUAGAGGUUGCUAUACAGCCUUCAAACCUACACUGUGUAGCUGUGGAACUGUAACUCAUAGGUUCUUAUGUUAUUGUUUUACUAUUAGCGGACCACAGAUCUAUGGUCUACAAAUGGUCAAAAAAAUAACAUAAGGACCUAUGAGCUACGGUUCCCAAGCUAGUUCAUUCAUAAUUCAUACAAUUUAAUGAGGAAAAUAGAAAUUCAAAUGUAAAUAAAUGUAUGGAGGUAUUUUUUUAAACUUUAUUCUUAAGAAUUCAUAAAAAAUAGAUUUGAUAAACUUGUGUCUUUUGCAGUUACUGUCUGAAUAUAAAAUCUUGUUUUAAUUAUAUACAAUAUUGUGAUGUUAUCAUUACAGAGGAGAUGAGAAGUAUUGGUUUCCUCUGCUUAAAGCUAUGUGGUUAGUUCCUACCAAAGAGUUUCAGUAUAGAGUUAAGAACGUAUUGGAUGAUACCAAGUUCAGACGGAUGUGGAACUGGAAGGUAGGAAUUUCUCAGACAACUGCUUCUGACUUUGAAAAAUUGCUUUGUGGAUUAUUAAAGUAAAAUUCAAUACUGCGAAAGCGGGGGACGUUUUAAAGGUGUUUAUAAAAUUAAGGAGAUGUGUAUCAUGUGUUAUUAAGACAAAUAUCAAUCAAAGUUCAUUUGAGGUAGAUGUAAACAAUUAUAGGCAACAGUACAGUUUUAACAAUGAGAAAACCUAUACUGGCAGUCAUCUGUUGAUUUAAUAUUUAUUACAAUCAGUCACAAUAAACUUUUUACCCUAAAACAAUAAAGACUAGUCAAAUCAUUGUUUGAAAAAUGGAAGUAAAGAUGAAAUGAAAUUUUAUCUUUAAAAUAGUUAAUUGAGCUUUCAUUUUGUAAAACAUCUUGGAAAUAUUUAAUCCAUGCCACGGCCACAUUUUUUUCUCCAUAUUACUCAAUCUCUACUUAAAGGAAUGAUUAUAUUAUACAAUGUAUUUGGUUUGAAACUUGAUUAUGUAUUUAACAUUGAGUGACAAUGUGUAGGGGAUUUUUAGAUAUGUCUUUAUGCUGCUUUCUGAUAUAAGAUAUUUAUUUAGAUUCAUAAAUUAUUAAAUAAGAGCCAUUAUUAAGCCCCUGUCAGAAAUUGCAAAAACAUGAUAAAAUUCUUCAAUGGUAUUCACAUAGCUUUAGGAAAAAUUAGUUUUGAGCCUUUUUAUAAACUUUUGAAAAAGCCAGAUAUAUGACAAUAGGAGAGACAGAAGAUACAUAAAUGUAAAACUAAUUUCAGGAAAAUAUUCAAGAGGCCAAAGACAUGAUAGCUAAUGCUGAGAAAGUAGACCUCCCACUAGAGGGAGAUAGUAAAGAGAGAGAUGUUAAUGCUGGAUGUGGCAAUGCUGUCAAAGAAAUCAUAGAAAUGUUCAAG
This 10430-nucleotide long non-coding RNA is filed under the name Mytilus galloprovincialis (Mediterranean mussel). Lineage: Eukaryota; Metazoa; Mollusca; Bivalvia; Mytilida; Mytilidae. The record is from RNAcentral.